UGGCAGUUGGUCCGGAACAUGGCCCUUCUCUAGUUCUUUGCCCCAACUCCCAAAGCAGCUAGAAGGUUUAGAAGUGCCCCAGAGCCAACUAAUAAAAACCACAGCUGCUUGGGGAGCUUCGCUUACUAAUAGACAACAGCACGGGUCACUCUCCCCAGAUCCACAGCUCAUCUUGUCUGUCCUGUUUUGAACACUGGCACAGCACCAGACUAGCUAGCUUGCUGGCUUUUGGGGAUGAUUAUGGGAAGUCUGAGAGCCUGGGAGAUUGCAAGGUCUACCAGAGUCUGCUGUCAGAGCGAGUUUUCCUGGCAGGGAAGAAACCCAGCAAAGCCUAAAUGCCUGCUGUAAGUCAGAAGUUGGCUCACGCCCUCUCACCUGUCCUCAACAAGACUUAUAUGAGGGGAACAGAGACCCAUUUGCUGGCCUCAGUAAUCUCCGUUGUUCUCCGCUGUGCUGUCUGCAGUUCAGCUCUGUCUGGAGUGAAAUGUGGGGCCCAGGAGGAAACAGAAAUGGAUCUUCUCAGCAACACUCAAGCAACAGAUGACUCUGCGGAGACUCCACCUGGAAGGCUGCGCUCAGCUCAGAGCUCCUAAUUACCAGCCAGAUCAGGACCCUCUGUGUUGGCCUCAAAUUGAUAUCUUCUUGAUCCAGCACCUCCAAGUGCUCUGGCUACAGGCAUGUGAGAUCUAGCACCACCCACCAUUUACAUCAGGGUCCUUCCACAGGACAUUGGAACUGGUGUAAAAGUGGGACCAUGCCCCUGCAAGGACUCUAAUUGUGUAAUCCAGAUCUGUCUUCUCUACUGUCUCAGCAGUGGAAAUCUCACCCCACCCCCGAAUGAUAACUGGAGGUGCCAUUUUAAGAGUUCUUUGAGUUACUGGUUCACUGGCUGCACAGAAUAUGGCUGAUUUGAGCUGUUUUCUUUAGAAGCAGAUGCUGAGGUAAAGAACUUCAUGUGGUUUCUAGAGAUCUAUACCUAGAAAAACAAGAUAACUUGACAGAGAAAGAUGCUGUCUUCACGCUGUCCAAUCUGCUCGGGUGAGCUGUGGAGUGAGGACUCACCUGCCUGGCUCAGUCAGCAGAUGUGGGCUGCCUUGUGAGACUGGAACCUCCAGAGAGCCUACCUCUCUCCUACACCAGGCUGACUCUGAAGUUCCCCACAGUGGGGCUGUCCG
Long non-coding RNA from Mastomys coucha (southern multimammate mouse), 1175 nucleotides. RefSeq lists it as uncharacterized. NCBI's taxonomy places the organism in Eukaryota, Metazoa, Chordata, Mammalia, Rodentia, Muridae. The record is from RefSeq and is a predicted model, not a curated record. The transcript is spliced from 4 exons.